UACGGAGAGUGCGAGCGUUAAUCGGAAUUACUGGGCGUAAAGCGUACGCAGGCGGUUUGUUAAACGAGAUGUGAAAGCCCCGGGCUCAACCUGGGAACUGCAUUUCGAACUGGCAAACUAGAGUGUGAUAGAGGGUGGUAGAAUUUCAGGUGUAGCGGUGAAAUACGUAGAGAUCUGAAGGAAUACCGAUGGCGAAGGCAGCCACCUGGGUCAACACUGACGCUCAUGUACGAAAGCGUGGGGAGCAAACGGG
This 253-nucleotide ribosomal RNA is filed under the name uncultured bacterium. Its description in RNAcentral is "partial 16S ribosomal RNA". It matches the Rfam family "Bacterial small subunit ribosomal RNA", at positions 524 to 776 of the family's 1533-position model. The record is from RNAcentral.